This 67-nucleotide transfer RNA is filed under the name bovine gut metagenome. It matches the Rfam family "tRNA". From Rfam's summary of the family: Transfer RNA (tRNA) molecules are approximately 80 nucleotides in length. The record is from RNAcentral.
CGGUGUAGCUCAGUGGUAGAGCUACUGAUUUGUAAUCAGUGGGUCGGGGGUUCAAAUCCCUCCGCCG